Molecule: non-coding RNA, 29 nt
Filed under: Rattus norvegicus (Norway rat)
Lineage: Eukaryota; Metazoa; Chordata; Mammalia; Rodentia; Muridae
Source: RNAcentral
UAGAAGUUAGCUGAGCGUACUGAGAGCCA